UUGUAUCACUAAGCGGAUGUGCAACGACUAGUUAACGGUAAAAUUUGUAUCACGUAAAUUAAAAACUCGCUGAAAUGAUUACUAUUUACAGUAAAAAAAAACUAAUUACAAUUACCCGACAAUUUACGGCGUGCGUGUUGGAUAAUGCGAAAAGAAAUAUUCUGAAAGCCCAGUAAAUGAAAUGCAAAAAAUUUUAUUUCAAGUUGAAAUAUUUUCCUGAAUUGUAAAAAAUAAAUGAAAAUUCAAAAUUUGUUGAAGUGAAUGUGUAUAUAUGAAUAUAUAUUAUAUAUUAAAUUGAGUUAAUUUAGUGAAGGCUAAAAUUGAUUUUGUGGAUUAAAAAAAAAUUAAAUGCUUAAAUAUUUUAAAAAUCAAAUUCAAUUUAUUAAAAAUGAAAAAGUGUGUGCUAGUUCAACUCUAACUUAGCAGUCGGAAACUGCUUUUAAUUUUCUGCAGCAGUGAAGGCAUAACAGUUUUUAGAAAAAAAAAUUGGAUAAAGGAAACCCAAGCAAAAUAUCCUCUUCACUCAUACUCCAGCUAUUUGUCGUAAUUAUCAAUUCUGCUCAAAACGCAGACCCGACGAGAAACACACAACCAACUAAACAUUGAGUUUCUGUGGUCUAACGCACACACUUUCACUAUAUACCUUCGGCGGACUUUCACAUUAUUGUGAAGCCGUAUGCAAACAAAUCAUCGCCAAAUACGAGGAAACCAAAAGUAUCCGAAACAUGCUUCACAAUAAGAGAGAUUUCACACUGAGUCCGACGGCGCCCGUUAUUGUCGCGCUGACGACAUCGUUCGUUGCAAUGGCAGUGCUGCCGGGAGUUUGAACAACGCUUUCGACCGCAUGAAUGGAUAAUGGUUUGGGCACUAGCGCAAGCUUCACCGGAUCCCCUGAACAAGAUGGCGCAGCGGUGGGUUAUGAUGUAAAUUGCUCUUUGCCACGGGAUAGUCUAUACGUAUUCGAAAUGAACCCAGGGAAACACGUUGUGUCAACCAUUGUGCCUGCAUUUUUCGGCAUUAUCGGACUCGCGGUCCUACUGGAAAAUGCUUAAAUUAUGAAAAUCGAAUGUGUGUUGACUGACUGAACAUAUUUGCUCUUGCUCAUUUGGAUAACUGACCAUACAGACACAUAAUUUUGUAUUUAACAAGUGAGUGUAAGCAAUGGGUGCAUGCGAUAACAGCUAAUAGAUAUGCGGUUGAAGCACAUAAUUUGAAAACCAGCAUUUAUGGCAAACUCAGUGAAAAAUAUUGUGAUAGUGGGACAAUUGGAUGGUGUCAAAAUUGGAUAUUUUUGAAAAAUUUAUGAUUUGUCAUAAUUCUACAUUUAAGAAACAUUAAUCAGAUACGUUGCCUUUAAAUAAAGUUUUCAAGUAUAUUUGGACAGUAAUAAAAUUUGUAGUAUCUGUCAGUUUAAUUAAACAACUGACAUUUCACAGAAUGCUCAUAAAUAUUUGUAUUCGAAAGUUCAGUACAAAAUGCCACAAAUCACUGAAAUAUAAGGGAAAAUUUCAUUUAAUUCGAAUUUCAUCCACACCAUAUUAUCCGUAUCCCAGAGACUCUUUUUUUGUCGGAAUUCAAGAGAAUGUUCACUGAAAAGGUUGUCACAGAAGUGUACACUACAAUAUUCAAUUCAACUUCUAUCUUUGCAAACAUAUUUUGGCAUUUUAAAGAGAGAACUUUAAAUAGUAUUAUAAAGUGCUACAAAAUUAUUUGAGUUCUUUGUCUACAUAUAAAGUAAAUACAACAAAUGUUUCAGUAGAAAAAUGUGUAAUAAAUCAAUGCCUAAGUAGCACUCAGCUGCAGAAGUAUUCAGGCGCGUGCGAGAGUGUGCGUUCGUGCCAACGCUGAGGACCUAUAAGUACUCAGAUAAACUAGAAUGUAUGCAAUUGCUUGAACGACCAUGAAAAUGUGGAAUAUAUGUGUGCUUAUGGACGCAUAUAUGUAUGUAUAUUAGAUUGACUACGUAAACGAGCUCAUCAGGUGUCAGGCUACAAACCAAUCGCGCUUUGUUGAGCUCCUACGUUAUUUCAAUGGCAAGUUGGAAGUCAAGGUCAUUCAAUAAUAGUUUUUUCUCUUUGCACUUUCUUUCUCUCUUUGUUUUGCAAGCCACUUCAUCCAAUAACCAAUAACAUUUUCCAUGCUGAAGUGAGCAAGUGAGAACAUCGAGACGUGUAAAUUCGAUCUCGUGCUCCUGCAAUAACAAGACCGCUUGACGACUGUAGUGCCUCUCAAAGAGAAAUGAUAGCUAUUAAGGUAGUGCGGCUAUUUUUAGGGAGGUAAGCAAACACUCCGAGAGCAGAGCUGUUAUACAGGCAAAUAAAAGAGUUUUCUCUUCACGCACUUGCUAUACGCUAUAGUGAUCAGAAAAUUUAGCUGUUUGGCAGCGGAUCUAUUCAAGCGAAACGAAAAUAUUGCCGACAGAGAAUGAACAAAAGGUUCCAAUGGUCAUUAUCACGUGCGAAACGAACACUGAACUACAAUUAGGAAAAGCACCACACACUCUUGCAGACUUGAACUUUGUAGGUAUGCAAACUUGUUUGGCGCCAAUGUAACUGACGGCACUCGCU
Molecule: long non-coding RNA, 2567 nt
Organism: Bactrocera neohumeralis
Lineage: Eukaryota; Metazoa; Arthropoda; Insecta; Diptera; Tephritidae
Exons: 4
Source: RefSeq, a predicted model, not a curated record